AGCAGCCGCGGUAAUUCCAGCUCCAAUAGCGUAUAUUAAAGUUGUUGCAGUUAAAAGCUCGUAGUUGAAUUUCGGAAUUUGUCGGUUGGUCGGGCUUUACUGUCCGCACUGACCUGAUGGAUUCCUACCUUCUGAAUAACCAGCAUGCUAUUAAGUUAGUGCGUUGGGGAAGCAGAGCUAUUACCUUGAAAAAUUAGAGUGCUUAAAGCAGGCUUGUGCUUGAAUAGAUUAGCAUGGAAUAAUAAAAUAGGACGGCAUGGUUCUAUUUUUUGUUGGUUUUCUAGGAUCACCGUAAUGAUUAAUAGGGAUAGUUGGGGCAUUAGUAUUCAAUUUGUCAGAGGGUGAAAUUCUUGGGAUUUAUUGAAGACUAAC
Molecule: ribosomal RNA, 372 nt
Filed under: uncultured Acaulospora
Lineage: Eukaryota; Fungi; Glomeromycota; Glomeromycetes; Diversisporales; Acaulosporaceae
Description: SSU rRNA
Rfam family: Eukaryotic small subunit ribosomal RNA
Source: RNAcentral